CCUGCCUGCCAAUGGCGGGCCUGGCGGCCCAAUCCCAGUGGCUUCCCACGCUCUCCCGCGGGCCCCAGCUCCGGCCCCCUCUCUCCCUCCCUUCAGUUUAAUUCCCCUUCCGGACGUUGCUAUCAUGUUGAAGCCUCAGCCGCCAUAAGAGCUCUCCAAGCCCCAGCAGCCGCCCCCCAUGCAGCAGGCCAUGCCUCCUCUGCAGCUCCACCGGGGCCUCCUGCGGCCUCCUCCCCCUGCCUGGGGCCUUCGGCUGCCAGGAGCGGGCUCCGCUGGGAAGCCAAAAGCAUCUUGGUAACGCAGCUGCCUCCGCAGCAGCAGCACCAGGAGAGGCCGGGGGCCGCUGCCACUGGCAGCGCCAGGGGACAAAGCACAGGAAAGGGACCCCCACAGUCACGUGUGUUUGAAGGCGUGUACAACAAUUCCAGAAUGCUGCAUUUCCUUACAGCUGUUGUGGGCUCCACUUGUGAUGUAAAGGUGAAAAAUGACACCAUCUAUGAGGGUAUCUUCAAGAGGCUGAGCUCAAAUUUUGAACUAGCAGUGGAUGUUGUACACCAGAAAGCAUCUGAGCCAGCAGGUGGUCCUUGUCGGGAGGAUAUUGUAGACACCAUGGUGUUUAAGCCAAGUGAUGUCAUGCUUGUUCACUUCUGAAAUGCUGACUUCAGCUACGCUGCUAAAGACAAGUUCACCCAUUCAGCCAUCGCCAUUAACUAGAAGGGAAUGGGGAACACAAAGAGAAGGUGCUUCAGCGCUGGGAGGGGGGUGACAGCAACAGCGACAACUAUGACCUUGAGUCCGACAUGUCCAAUGGAUGGGACCCCAAUGAAAUGUUCAAGUUCAACGAGGAGAACUACGGUGUGAAGACCACCUGUGAUAGCAGUCUUUUUUCUUAUACAGUGCCCUUAGAAAAGGACAGCUCGGAAGAGUUUCAGCAGCGAGACCUGCGUUUGGCGCAGUUGGCAUGAGAGAUUGAAUCAAGCCCUCAGUACCGCCUGUGGAUCGCCAUGGAGAGUGAUGAUGGGCCACUGGAGUGGAGAAGCACAGGGCGGCCCAAUGGCAGUAUUCAGGGCAGGAGAGCCCCAGGUUGGCAUCCAGGAAGAUAAAGUAUAUCAUCCCUCUGCCUCAAUGAGUCCAGGAAGGUCCCCAGGGAGGAGUUUGAUGCAGCAGCUCUCCGUGUGGUCGGCCUGGCCUUAGCUCUUUGCCACCUCGUGGCCCUCACCAUCUGGACAAUAGCAACCCUGGCCCAGGUUCUGAGGCCCGUGGUAUCAAUGGAGGCCCUUCCUGCAUGUCCCCAAAGGCACAGAGGCCUCUGAGAGGUGCCAAGACCCUGUCUUCACCCAAUAAUAGGCCUUCUGGAGAAACUUCUGUUCCUCCUCCUGCAGUGGGCCGGAUAUAUCCCCUGAGUUCUCCCAAGUCUGCUGCCCCUGCCCCAAUCUCAGCUUCCUGUCUUGAGCCUCCCAUUGGCUUGGCAGUGCCAACAUCUUCAGCCUCCAUCCCUGUGACCUCAUCAGUCUCAGAUCCUGGAAUGGGCUCCAUUUCCUCAGUUUCUCCAAAGAUCUCCCUGGCCCCCACAGAUGUAAAAGAACUCUCUACCAAGGAAACUGAGAGAACCCUGGAGCCCCAGUAGCUGGCUCAGAUAGCUGGGAAAGUCCCUGGUCUUCAGAAUGAACAGAAACUAUUCCAACUGGAAGAACUCAGAAAGUUUGGGGCCCAGUUUAAGCUUCAGCCCAAUAGUUCCCCUGAGAACAGCCUGGAUCCUUUUCCUCCCUGGAUCUUAAAGGAGGAGGCCAAAGGAAAGGAGAAGGAGGCUGAUGGUUUGUUGACUUCAGAUCCCAUGGGGUUCCCUCCAAGACAGAGUCCAUAUGGGAUAAGGAAGACAGACCACCCCUGGCACCAGCAGGAGGCACUGAGGGUCCAGAACAGAGCCUCCCCCCCACCUUGCCCAAGCCAAACCAGCAGCCCCCCAGUUGGGCUCAUCAAAGGAGAGGACAAGGAUGAGGGCCCUAUUGCUGAACAAGUAAUCAAUGUUGAACCCCAAUACCAAGGAGUUCAGUCCCACAAAGUCUCUGCUGUUUGUGAAUAAAUCCACCAGUACCCCAACUUCUCCAGGGCCUCGGACUCAUUCAACUCCCUCCAUCCCAGUGCUGACAGCAGGCCAGAGUGGGCUAUACAGCCCCCAGUACAUCUCCUACAUACCUCAGAUCCACAUGAGACCAGCUGUGCAGGCAUCUCAGAUGUAUUCGUAUCCUGGAUUCAAUUCAAUGUCUGGGCAGCAGGGCAAGUACUGGAGAGCAAAAUGCUCCCUGUGCCCAUAGCUCUGGGACCAAUACCAGCCAGCCUCAGCCCCACCUCGGUGGCUGCUGGCCUGCCUCUGGUGGCUGCCACGCCCUAUUCUUCCUACAUCUCCUACAACACUCAGCAGUUCCCAGGCCCACCUGCCAUGAUGCAGCCCAUGACCCACUACGCCUCACAGCCGGUGUCUGCCCCUUUGCUUCAAAGCAAUCCACGCAUGCUGACGUCGGGCAGACAUCCCCAGGUCAUUGUGUCAUCCUCCACCCUUCAGUACCCUUCUGCGGAGCAGCCCACCCCUCAAGCCCUUUAUGUCACUGUUCAUCAGGCCUACCCACACUAUGCCACACAGCUUCAUGCCCACCAGCUGCAGCCAGCUACCAUGCCUACCUGGAACCAGACUGCAGCCCCCAGUCCUGUCCAGCAUCAGGCAGGAGUGGCUCCACACCUGGGCAGUGGACACCCAACAGUAGAAUCUGUACCACCCAGGGGCCCUGGCCGGCAUGCUGCCCUCUCUGCCUCUGGGACCUUCUGCCCGGUCCCCUCAGAGCAGCUUCCCCCAGCCAGCCACUGUGUAUGCCAUCCACCACCAGCAUCUGCCCCACGGCUUCACCAACAUGGCCCAUGUUCCCCAGGCUCAUGUCCAAACUGGAAUCACUGCAGCCCUGCCCCCUCACCCUGGGGCUCCCCAUCCACCCCAGGUGAUGCUGCUGCACCCACCCCAGAGUCAUGGGAGGUCACCCCCAAAGUGCAGUGCCCCAGAGUGGGGUGCCUGCAUUCUCAGCUUCCACACCCUCACCCUACCCCUACAUCAGACACCCCCAAGCUCUCACUGACCCCGACUCCUGACUUACCAGAGUUCAAUCUUACCCCUCCCAGCAGCUCCCCUUCCACCCCCUGGGGAACUGAAGACUUUCCUGGCCGAGACCCGAGACCUCCAUGAGUGGAGGGAAGAGUGAUCUAUGCCUCUUCCCCCAGCAGUUCAGACCACUCCCAGUUCCCCAUCCCCCCUUUCCCCAGGGGAGCUGGGGAAUUCCUGCCAAGCACCUUGAAUGGGAGGGGCCUCACAGAGGGCAGCGCCAGGGUCCAGCAGGGGUGGGGGGUUCCUGCUCUAUCCCUGCCUGUCCCCACCCAGUAUUGCCCUCGCAUCCUCUCAUCUAUUCCCCUGCUGGACACAGAAGAUCUUUUAUUUUCUGUUGUUUGUAACCUCAGACUUAGGUCCCCUGUUCUUUAUUUUCCAUUAACUUGAGUGGCCUGUGUGAGAGACAGAUGGAUGCCCCAGGAGGAUGG
Molecule: non-coding RNA, 3579 nt
Organism: Macaca mulatta (Rhesus monkey)
Lineage: Eukaryota; Metazoa; Chordata; Mammalia; Primates; Cercopithecidae
Source: RefSeq, a predicted model, not a curated record